Non-coding RNA from Oryza meridionalis, 198 nucleotides. Lineage: Eukaryota; Viridiplantae; Streptophyta; Magnoliopsida; Poales; Poaceae. The record is from Rfam.
AAUAAACGCAGUCAUGAGUUCCCGUGUCCAACUUUGAUCGUCCGUUUUAUUUGAAUUUUUGUAUGAUUAGUAUUUUUAUUGUUAUUACAUUAUAAAGUAUGAAUAGUACUUUAGACGUGACUUAUGUUUUGUAGUUUUUUCAAAAUAAAAAAGACAAACGAUCAAAGUUGGAAAAAAAAACUUAUGGCUGCGCUUAUU